UACGAAGGGGGCUAGCGUUGUUCGGAAUCACUGGGCGUAAAGCGCACGUAGGCGGAUUUUUAAGUCAGGGGUGAAAUCCCGGGGCUCAACCUCGGAACUGCCUUUGAUACUGGAGAUCUUGAGUCCGGAAGAGGUAAGUGGAACUGCGAGUGUAGAGGUGAAAUUCGUAGAUAUUCGCAAGAACACCAGUGGCGAAGGCGGCUUGCUGGUCCGGAACUGACGCUGAGGUGCGAAAGCGUGGGGAGCAAACAGG
This 253-nucleotide ribosomal RNA is filed under the name uncultured bacterium. RNAcentral's name for it is "partial 16S ribosomal RNA". It matches the Rfam family "Bacterial small subunit ribosomal RNA", at positions 524 to 776 of the family's 1533-position model. The record is from RNAcentral.